Molecule: ribosomal RNA, 619 nt
Filed under: uncultured bacterium
Lineage: Bacteria
Description: SSU rRNA
Rfam family: Bacterial small subunit ribosomal RNA
Source: RNAcentral
CAGCUAGUUGGUAGGGGAAGAGCCUACCAAGGCGACGAUCGGUAGCUGGUCUGAGAGGACGAUCAGCCACACUGGGAUUGAGAACGGCCCAGACUCCUACGGGGGGCAGCAGUGAGGAAUUUUCCGCAAUGGGGGCAACCCUGACGGAGCAACGCCGCGUGCAGGAGGACGCUUUUCGGAGUGUAAACUGCUUUUCUGUGGGACGAGGAUGGACGGUACCACAGGAAGAAGCCCCGGCUAACUACGUGCCAGCAGCCGCGGUAAUACGUAGGGGGCGAGCGUUGUCCGGAGUUACUGGGCGUAAAGGGCAUGCAGGCGGUCGGACGCGUUUUGUGUGACAGCGGAUGGCUUAACUAUCCGAGGAUACGAAAGACGGUUUGACUUGAGGGCUCGAGAGGGACACGGAAUUCCGGGUGGAGUGGUGAAAUGCGUAGAGAUCCGGAGGAACACCAAAGGCGAAGGCAGUGUCCUGGCGAGUACCUGACGCUGAGGUGCGAAAGCUAGGGGAGCGAACGGGAUUAGAUACCCCGGUAGUCCUAGCCGUAAACGAUGACCACCAGGUGUGGGAGGUAUCGACCCCUUCCGUGCCGGAGGAAACCCACUAAGUGGUCCGCCUGGG